This 462-nucleotide ribosomal RNA is filed under the name uncultured Methanomicrobiales archaeon. RNAcentral describes it as "bacterial SSU rRNA". It matches the Rfam family "Archaeal small subunit ribosomal RNA", at positions 878 to 1338 of the family's 1478-position model. The record is from RNAcentral. Lineage: Archaea; Methanobacteriati; Methanobacteriota; Methanomicrobia; Methanomicrobiales.
ACCACAACGGGUGGAGCUUGCGGUUUAAUUGGAUUCAACGCCGGAAAUCUUACCGGGACCGACAGCAAUAUGAAGGCCAGGCUGAAGACUUUGCCGGAUUAGCUGAGAGGUGGUGCAUGGCCGUCGUCAGUUCGUACUGUGAAGCAUCCUGUUAAGUCAGGCAACGAGCGAGACCCACGCCAACAGUUGCCAGCUCGUCCUCCGGGAUGGUGGGGACACUGUUGGGACCGCCUCUGCUAAAGAGGAGGAAGGAAUGGGCAACGGUAGGUCAGCAUGCCCCGAAUUAUCUGGGCUACACGCGGGCUACAAUGGGUGGGACAAUGGGUAUCGACACCGAAAGGUGAAGGCAAUCUCCUAAACCCAUCCGUAGUUCGGAUUGUGGGCUGCAACUCGCCCACAUGAAGCUGGAAUCUGUAGUAAUCGUGUCUCAAAAUGGCACGGUGAACUAUCGUCCUGCUCCUU